Molecule: long non-coding RNA, 275 nt
Filed under: Trifolium pratense (red clover)
Lineage: Eukaryota; Viridiplantae; Streptophyta; Magnoliopsida; Fabales; Fabaceae
Description: long non-coding RNA (TPRA_LNC007862)
Source: RNAcentral
UUCUUGGGCAUUCAUUGGUUUGUUUUCUAUUCACACCAACCCAUUACACUAAAACACCUAUUAAUUUGUUCUCAAGCAUAAAUGUGUUUAGUUGAACAAAGAAAAUAAAAACUACACAAAAUAUUAUUUUAAUAGAGAAAAACAUCUAAUUGACACAAUAAACCAAAAAUUAUAAUUUAUUUAAAAUGACUCUAAAUUAAACAUUAAACUAAUAAAAUGAUAUUAAAAACUUAAUUAAAAAGACUCUAAAAAUAGCGACGGAUGAAGACUCAUCA